Molecule: ribosomal RNA, 346 nt
Filed under: uncultured bacterium
Lineage: Bacteria
Description: partial 16S ribosomal RNA
Rfam family: Bacterial small subunit ribosomal RNA
Source: RNAcentral
CCUACGGGGGGCAGCAGUGAGGAAUAUUGGGCAAUGGCCGAGAGGCGGAACCAGCCAAGUCGCGUGAGGGAAGACGGCCCUACGGGUUGUAAACCUCUUUUGUCGGGGAGCAAAGCGAACCACGUGUGGGGCAUUGAGAGUACCCGAAGAAAAAGCAUCGGAUAACUCCGUGCCAGCAGCCGCGGUAAUACGGAGGAUGCGAGCGUUAUCCGGAUUUAUUGGGUUUAAAGGGUGCGCAGGCGGAGGUGCAAGUCAGCGGUCAAAUUGCUGGGCUCAACCCCGUACUGCCGUUGAAACUGCAUCCCUUGAGUGCGCGAGACGUAUGCGUCCUGCGUGGUGUAGCUGU